UAUUGGACAAUGGGGGAAACCCUGAUCCAGCCAUGCCGCGUGUGUGAUGAAGGCCUUCGGGUUGUAAAGCACUUUCGCACGUGACGAUGAUGACGGUAACGUGAGAAGAAGCCCCGGCUAACUUCGUGCCAGCAGCCGCGGUAAUACGAAGGGGGCAAGCGUUGUUCGGAAUUACUGGGCGUAAAGGGCGCGUAGGCGGUGCGUUAAGUCAGAUGUGAAAGCCCUGGGCUCAACCCGGGAAUUGCAUUUGAUACUGGCGCGCAGAUCCAGAGAGGUUGGUGAAUUCCCAGUGAAGGUAAAUUCGAAGUUGGAAGACACCGGUGGCGAGCGCCAACUGGCUGGUUAGCGUGGCCAGUUGUCUU
Molecule: ribosomal RNA, 362 nt
Filed under: uncultured bacterium
Lineage: Bacteria
Description: bacterial SSU rRNA
Rfam family: Bacterial small subunit ribosomal RNA
Source: RNAcentral